Long non-coding RNA from Triticum aestivum (bread wheat), 2728 nucleotides. RefSeq lists it as uncharacterized. The transcript has 3 exons. The record is from RefSeq and is a predicted model, not a curated record. Lineage: Eukaryota; Viridiplantae; Streptophyta; Magnoliopsida; Poales; Poaceae.
CACUUAUCCAUUGCCGGAGUGGGUCGACGCGUCGCAACUGGCGUUGGGGAAUCCAUUCCCGGCGGCGGCGGCUUCCGGCGAGGAGGCGAGCGAGCUCUGCAAGCUCCGGCGGGGGCUUGUCUCCGACGAGGCGAGGCCAAGGAGGCAGUGCGCGGGCGCAAGGAGGCGGGGUCGAGGAGGCGCAGGAGACGCCGGCCAGUGGCACUCCGGCGGGGGCUUGGCGAGGGCGACAGCGGUCGCGAGGGCUUGGCGGCGGCCAGAGUGCUCGCUUGGGAGGAUGGAGCCGCCUCGCCGGGGCACGGGCGCGGCAGCACGACGUCGGGCCGUUGCCGAUGGCGCCGGGGCCGGGGCGGUGGUCUCACGGGCGACCAGGAGGAGGUGUUGUCCUGGAGCCAGCAACGGCGGCUGCAGCUUGACGAUGCGAGCGUCAAUAGCUUGCUUCAGGGGCUGCGGGCCGUGAGCGGCGCCGUGCUCGCGCACAAGACCCGUGCCUGAUUUGGAUCGGAUUGCAGACCGUGUUCUUGUCGAACACAAUUCAAUGGAGUGCCCAACCCAGAUUGUUGUUUUCUGCUAUAAGAAGGAAGGGUAGUCGGCCGGAAUCUCCAUGAGAUCAAUUUUUGAUUUGGACGAAACAUCCAAUGUCUUCGCCUUGUUCGCUGGAGGAAGAAACGUCGAGUUCGCUGGAGGUACAAGAACAGCCGUCGAGCACUCCAAUGUCGCCAGCGGCGGCUACACCAGAGAAUCAAGACAUGCCUCUAUAAAUGUUUUUUUAAGGCAACUAGCUACUUGGGUUGUGCAAAUCAACAAGUACUCCUACAGAUACCAUCAGAACUAAGGUUAUUCUUAAUUAAGCAGCUCGCUAGAUUACUUUUAAGGAUUUUUCUCCACAUGAAAAUAAUAACCUUGAACUUCAAAUCUUCUAUUGAAACUCCUUUUCUAUGUAUGAACCUCAGGAGACAACUUCCAGUAGACCUGGCCAAUGGAAAUCUCAAAUCUCAUAGCAUGUAAGCUCUCGGUCAGGUAUUCUAUUCGUAACUCAGCGUAUCUUUUUUCAGAAGUUUUAUGUCUAACUCCCAAACAUCUUUUGUCAAGAGUAAGAAUGCAGCUGUUGAGAACUUGACAUAAAUGGUUGCUUGCUGCAAGAAGAGUGGUAUCAUUAUUACCAGAGAAGUAGACGUUGUUUGAAUUAUUCUUUAUUAUUCAUAUCAUGUUAAUAGCUCUCUGCUCUGUUCUUAACUGGGAAUCCUUGCUCCUUGGACCCCUAUCAAUUGUAAAGAAGGUAAUUUAUCAGAAUCUUAUGGUCUUUUAGUUUGUUCUGGGCCUCUGAGGUUCCUUAGUUUCACGUAUGAACGUGAUAUUAGUACGCUCAGUUUCAGUUUUGUGGUUUGAUUUGCUUGCUUGUGUAUAUAUGCAUGUAUACCGUGAGAGAGGGAGAGAUAAUUCUGUUCUAGCAGUCGUAUUUCUGUGACAAAUCUACUUCCCUCCACCCCAUUCUCGAUUGCCUGAAAUCAAAUGCAAAUUGGGAGCGGCAGAGCAAAUGUGAAAAAGUUCAGGGCAGGUGCAUGUUUUUUAGAUUCAGAGGACGUGUAAGCUGGGAGAUGGCUUGCAUGCUUUGUAAGUAUGAUUAAAUGGAUUAGGAACUUGUUUCUGUGUUUGCAACACAAUGCAAUUAUGACAAACUAUAUGUAAUUAAACUAACUGCAUAUAUUUUCUCGGUAUAUUGUGCAAAAUUCAUAGAUUCAUGCUUAAAUGAAGUGCAAUAUUUUCUCGGUGGAAAGAUUUGUGCACGGGGACGGAGGCGAUCAAGGGAAGCAGUCACGAGCGAGGUAUUUGAGGGCUAUGAGCGCCAGUAAUGUGAGGUCUCCGAAGCCUCCACUCUUGAUGGAGUUAAUUUGCCGCAUAGGUGUCUUCCGUAAGAUGCUACAAGGAUCACAUAACUUCCUUAACCGAAUACAGCGCCGACGGUGGCAGGACACGCUUUCUACCUGUAGUUCUCCAACUUUGAGGAUGGUGGCCACCUAUUUCUUAACUGUAAACUGAUCAAGCAACGAUGGCGAGCACUGCUGCUUGAGGAUAUCAGACUUAGACUGCUCCAGUGUACAUCUCCCAAAGAAAUUCUGUCUAUAAUCCUUGACCUGCCAGAGGAGAGGAAGCUGUUAUCCAUCGCUUUGCUCUGGUGUUGGUGGACGGAACAGAACAGGGGCAAUCAUGGGGAGCAACGGCUGGAAGUUGAAGCUUUUCGAUACAUUGUCCGUCACCACGCUGAUGAUUGGAAAGAGUUUUUGAGCGCUAAGCCUACUGAACCGAUCGUGCGGUAGCAUAAGUGGGAUAAGCCUCCAAGCAAUAUGGUGAAAAUAAACGUCGAUGCUGCGUUUGCUGAACAAAGAGGAGUUGGAGGCUGGGGCCUAAUCUGCAGAGAUGACGCUCAAGACAUUCGUUUUGCAGCGGCUGGAGCCCAGCAUGAUCUGCAAAGCGCCCUACAAGCUGAAGCUGUUGCUCUUUCCAAGGCAGUGACUCUGGCGGAUAGGUUAGGAGUUGGGCGCGUCAUUUUUGAAACUGACUGUAUGGUCCUUAAGCAAGCAAUGAACUCAAACGACUAUGAGUUGGCGCAACUGGGUGUUUUGUUUAGUGAUAUCAGGUUCAGACUUAGGACCCAUUUCAUUGAGGCUCAUGUGGUGUAUGUGCCGAGAUAGUGUAAUGGAUCAAGGACCAGCACAUGUGCUAGCGU